UCUUAAUUGAGUUAUUUAUCGCGUUAGAUUGCGACGAGUGUGAAGGUGAAUUCUACGAGGAGGUAGAACCCUCUGACUGCGAAACCGAAGGCAAGUUGCAAAUUGAUAAUGCUUCGACCUAUAUUUCCAUACUAUGCAUAUCUCUUUAAAUUUUAAUGGUAUGCAUGUUUUAUAAAGGUUUUACAAAGUAUUAUUUAUAGCUAGAGCCAUAGGUUCAAGACCGACCACCAUGCUUGGCCACGCUUGCACAAAAUGGGUGGGAUGAAAACAAAACUUAUUUUAAACCUUUAAACUUGCUCUCCUUUUGGAGCAACGUUUGUGAAACUAUUUUGAAAAGAAAGAUUAUUUAUAUAUUAUUUUACAUCUACUCCCUGGGCGGAAUGGUAUUGAUGGGAGCGUCUACAAGUGAUUGCGCCCAUCGGGGUCUUGCAGUGAAUGCGCUCGACUGGGGUCUUGCACAUAGGUUUUUGGUGGGGACCGUCGUCCAGGGGACUGAGAUCUUCCAAGUACAGUUUGAUGUAGCUUCCAGUACAGCCACAUGCUACUAUGGGCUCUGGCUUAGCUUAGUACUAAUGGGAAACCCUACCCCAGGACCGCCAUCGGAGAGAGGCCUUCGUGCCGAAGUUGCGGGCGGCUUGGUGGUAUGGGGGGCUGUUACGGAAAGGCUUCAUCACAAUCUCCUCCUAGUCAUACACCCAAGUGUGUCACGAUAAACGGGGUUGGUUGUGUCAUGUGGGGAACGUGUACGACCUCUGCAGAGGGUUAAACCUAAUCGAUUAGUCGUGCCCCCGGUUACGGGCAAAUUUGAGCAACUGAAGACUUGGACUGAAGAAGAAUCUCCCCUCUCUUUUCUAAAAGUUUGUUUUAAGGGAAGGGAAAGUUGAGGAAUGAGCACAGUGAAUGUGUUUCACUUCAACCAUAUUUAUGUUUUACCAAAAUUUGGAGAAUGAGCACUGGUGCGUAUAUCCAUGUGUCGCACUCCUACCUUUUUAAACUAAAAAAACUAUUUCUGUUUCAAAAGUAGUUAACAAAAAUUAGUAUAGGAGAAAAUUGGCUUUAUGCAAAGGAAACCUCCACUAAUACUAUCUUGCAUAUAUAUUCUGUUAAACUUUCCUUUGCAACUUGCGAGUACAUUCCACGUACUCACCUGCACAUGUCAUGUGCAGAUCUUGACAGAUUAAAGGAUGAUAGGGUUAUGGUCUACACUCAACGAGCCCAGUGCGUUGAUGGAGUCCUAACUUAGCAACUACAUAUUAUUCCGCUGUAUUAUGUGCCAGCAUUGAGCAAUGUCAAUGGUAUGUAUUUGUUUAAUUCUGGAUGUACCGUUGUAGUAAAAUGAUGUAUGUUUUAUUGAUAUUCAUUCUUGUUACUGUGUGUGCUAGCUAUGAUGUAGGGAUAGCACAGUAAACACAAAGACUUGGAUUCUACGAAAUCCGGGUCGUGACAUCUUCUUCUAGCACUUGAGCACAAUUUUCCUUCCCAUCAUUCUCAGAAAGAUA
Molecule: long non-coding RNA, 1499 nt
Filed under: Triticum aestivum (bread wheat)
Lineage: Eukaryota; Viridiplantae; Streptophyta; Magnoliopsida; Poales; Poaceae
Description: long non-coding RNA (TAES_LNC021921)
Source: RNAcentral